This 253-nucleotide ribosomal RNA is filed under the name uncultured bacterium. Its description in RNAcentral is "partial 16S ribosomal RNA". It matches the Rfam family "Bacterial small subunit ribosomal RNA", at positions 524 to 776 of the family's 1533-position model. The record is from RNAcentral.
UACGAAGGGUGCAAGCGUUACUCGGAAUUACUGGGCGUAAAGCGUGCGUAGGUGGUGAGUUAAGUCUGUCGUGAAAGCCCCGGGCUCAACCUGGGAAUGGCGAUGGAUACUGGCUCGCUAGAGUGCGGUAGAGGAGAGUGGAAUUCCCGGUGUAGCAGUGAAAUGCGUAGAGAUCGGGAGGAACAUCAGUGGCGAAGGCGGCUACCUGGCCCAAUACUGACACUCAGGUGCGACAGCGUGGGGAGCAAACAGG